This 495-nucleotide ribosomal RNA is filed under the name uncultured bacterium. Its description in RNAcentral is "partial 16S ribosomal RNA". It matches the Rfam family "Bacterial small subunit ribosomal RNA", at positions 29 to 507 of the family's 1533-position model. The record is from RNAcentral.
AUGAACGCUGGCGGCGUGCCUCAUACAUGCAAGUCGAGCGAACGGACGAGAAGCUUGCUUCUCUGAUGUUAGCGGCGGACGGGUGAGUAACACGUGGAUAACCUACCUAUAAGACUGGGAUAACUUCGGGAAACCGGAGCUAAUACCGGAUGAUAUUUUGAACCGCAUGGUUCAAAAGUGAAAGACGGUCUUGCUGUCACUUAUAGAUGGAUCCGCGCUGCAUUAGCUAGUUGGAAGGUAACGGCUUACCAAGGCAACGAUGCAUAGCCGACCUGAGAGGGUGAUCGGCCACACUGGAACUGAGACACGGUCCAGACUCCUACGGGAGGCAGCAGUAGGGAAUCUUCCGCAAUGGGCGAAAGCCUGACGGAGCAACGCCGCGUGAGUGAUGAAGGUCUUCGGAUCGUAAAACUCUGUUAUUAGGGAAGAACAUAUGUGUAAGUAACUGUGCACAUCUUGACGGUACCUAAUCAGAAAGCCACGGCUAACUACGUG